Molecule: long non-coding RNA, 2480 nt
Filed under: Mus musculus (house mouse)
Lineage: Eukaryota; Metazoa; Chordata; Mammalia; Rodentia; Muridae
Description: Ttc39a opposite strand RNA 1
Source: RNAcentral
AGAAGAGGAAGCAAAAAAGAGCAGCCUGCAAAUGCAGCCAUGGUGGGAAGGACUUGGAUCAGAUCCCAGAGGAGCCAGGCAACUUGAGUUUAGGAAUAGGGAGAAAUGUCUGGGGGAUUGCUGCUCUCAUCAAGAUAACUGCCUGGAAAGACUGUGAGUUGUUUGUUGUUCUUUUUAAAAAUAUUUUUAUGUGUAUUAGAGUUUUGCCUGCAGCUAUGCCAGAGUGAAAGUGACACAUCCCCUGGAGCUGGAGUUACAGACAUUGUGAGGCGCCAUGUAGGUGCUGGGAAUUGAACCUCUGUCCUCUGGAAGAGCAGCCAAUGCUCUUGACUGCUGAGCUAUUUCCCAGGAUGUCCUUAUGCUGCUCUGUGUGAGCAGAGGCCAGGCACUGCUAUGUGGAAACUAUCCCAACUUUGGUAGCCUCACAUAUGGGCUUGAAAAGACGAUGAUGGGAACCUGACCACAACAGCAUGUACCAGCAACCAUUAUUUAAGGAACCCAGACGAGGAACUUGUAUCAGUUCAGAUGUCACCUCUCCCAGGAAGUUCCUGGCUGGGUCCCAGACUCUCAUCUCUUGCCUCCAGUGAGCAGCCCUAACUCCUGUGGGUGACACUGUGUAUGACACGGGGAAGGAGCAGGAAGAGAUGCCUGUACGUGACUCUCGUGGACAUCUCUCAAGAUGAGAACAGUUGAGCAAGGUCAGCAGCAGAGUCAGAACUCUUCCCCCAUCACCACAGUGGUCCUCAAGCUGGAGCCAGACAUCCACCCAGGUGACCCAGCUUGGAUCAUGUGCUUAGGGCCAUGUUGAGCCAACAACUGAGCCUGAGGAUUACCUUCCCAAGUCUCAGUCCCUUCCUCACCAGUCGGGACACUUGUCAUGCCUGCGAGAUGUCAGACCUGCCUUCCUUCCUCAUUUCCUCCACAACCCACAAGAACACAGCCAGGACCCCUAGGCUUCUCCACUUCAGGACCACUACACACUAUUCACACCAUCCUUCAGGACCACUACACACUAUUCACACCAUCCUUCAGGACCACUACACACUAUUCACACUGUACGUCAGGACCACUACACACUAUUCACACCAUCCUUCAGGACCACUACACACUAUUCACAUUGUACUUCAGGACCACUACACACUAUUCAUACCAUCCUUCAGGACCACUACACACUAUUCACAUUGUACUUCAGGACCACUACACACUAUUCACACCAUCCUUCAGGACCACUACACACUAUUCACAUUGUGCUUCAGGACCACUACACACUAUUCACACUGUACUUCAGAUCCACUAUACACUAUUCACACCAUCCUUCAGGACCACUAUACACUAUUCACACUGUACUUCAGGACCACUAUACACUAUUCACACUGUACUUCAGAUCCACUAUACACUAUUCACACCAUCCUUCAGGACCACUACACACUAUUCACACUAUCCUUCAGGACCACUAUACACUAUUCACACUGUACUUCAGGACCACUACACACUAUUCACACCAUCCUUCAGGACUACUACACACUAUUCACACCAUCCUUCAGGAUCACUAUAUGUGGCCUGUUGUACCAUGUGAUCUCGAUCUCACUGCAUGGCUAGGAGAACCUCCGCGCACUUCUCUCAUCUGUGCUUUCUCAGCUAGAGAGGUCUCAGAAGAUACUGUGAGCAAAACCUCCUCAGUAUGCCCUAGAAAGUCUAUAGUGGCACUACCUCCCAUCCUACAGCUGAGAAAACUGAGGUUUGGAUCAUGGUCUAGUCAUAGCUGAAACCCAAGGCUUGAUUCCUUAUCCUACAGAACACAUUUUUUUGAAUUUUAAAUAUUAUAGUGUGUGUGUGUGUAUGUGUGUGUGUGUGUGUGUGCUCACAUAUUCAUGUGGAGGUCAGAGGACAACUUUUGUCCUCUUCCACCAUAGAGCACAGCUUUGACCUGUAAGCUGCCACUCCUAUGUGGGGUUAUAUAACUGAAUAUGAGGGUUGCAACAUUUUUGGCAACAAUAAAAGGCUUCCGAAUGCAUAACAACCAAAUAGAUUAAAGAUCAAAUCUGCCUUGAAUCUAAGGUGUUUCUGGCAGUACUUGGCCAUGUGCACCACGUGACUGCACUGCUGCUCUGACUCUGAACAAACAAAAGACAAAGUUAAAUGAGAGGCUGGACAGAUGGCUCAGUGGUUAAGAGGACUGGCUGCUCUCUCAGAGGACUUGGAUUUAAGACCCACACCCACAGGACUGCUCACAAUUCUCCAAGUAGAGUCUUAGAGGAUCUGACAACCCCUUCUGGCCUCCAUAGGUACCAGGCACACAUGUAGUGCAUAUAUCUACACUCACCCAAAACACUCAUACACAUAAAAUAAGUAAGUAGAAAAAUGGAAAACAAAAUAAGCAAGCACUUCCAUCUUACUGGUGUGCAAUUUACUUUCAUUCUUAAUAAAUGGUAAAACUACGUGUCAAAGGACUGUUUUAAAAUAAAUUUCCUUAUGAUUUA